Molecule: ribosomal RNA, 463 nt
Filed under: Sanguirana luzonensis (Luzon frog)
Lineage: Eukaryota; Metazoa; Chordata; Amphibia; Anura; Ranidae
Description: partial 12S ribosomal RNA
Rfam family: Bacterial small subunit ribosomal RNA
Source: RNAcentral
AGCGCCAGGGAAUUACGAGCAAUGCUUAAAACCCAAAGGAUUUGACGGUAUCCCAUCCACCUAGAGGAGCCUGUUCUAUAAUCGAUAACCCCCGCUAUACCCAACCACUCCUAGCUUAUCAGCCUGUAUACCUCCGUCGAAAGCCUACCAUGUGAAUGUUCUUAGUAAGCUUAAUGUCCCCGUCAAAACGUCAGGUCAAGGUGCAGCUCAUGGGGUGGGAAGAAAUGGGCUACAAUUUCUAAUCUAGAACACACGAAAAACUAGGUGAAACCCUAGUCAUGAAGGCGGAUUUAGCAGUAAAAGGAAAAUAGAGUGUUCUUUUUAACCUGGCCCUGGGAUGUGUACACACCGCCCGUCACCCUCUUCGACUGUAUUCAACACUGUUUUAUAACUCCCUUCCACAUUCUAGAAGAGGCAAGUCGUAACAUGGUAAGUGUACUGGAAAGUGCACUUGGCUAAACAA